This 466-nucleotide ribosomal RNA is filed under the name uncultured bacterium. RNAcentral describes it as "partial 16S ribosomal RNA". It matches the Rfam family "Bacterial small subunit ribosomal RNA", at positions 339 to 795 of the family's 1533-position model. The record is from RNAcentral.
CUACGGGAGGCUGCAGUCGAGAAUAGUCUACAAUGGGGGCAACCCUGAUAGUGCGACGCCGCGUGAACGAAGAAGCAUUUCGGUGUGUAAAGUUCUUUUCUACCAGAGCAAGCGAGAGUAUUAUAAGAUAUUAUUCUUUUAGAUAUUAUGGUAGGAAUAAGCCACGGCUAACUCCGUGCCAGCAGCCGCGGUAACACGGGGGUGGCGAGCGUUGUCCGGAAUUACUAGGCGUAAAGGGCAAGUAGGCGGAUCAGUAAGUCAGAUGUAAAAGGUUACGGCUCAACCGUAUUAUUGCAGUUGAUACUGUUGAUCUAGAGUAAGGCGAGGGAAGACGGAAUUCCUGGUGUAGCGGUGGAAUGCGUAGAAAUCAGGAAGAACACCGGUGGCGAAGGCGGUCUUCUGUUCCAUUACUGACGCUGAAUUGCGAAGGUGUGGGUAUCAAACAGGAUUAGAUACCCCAGUAGUC